Long non-coding RNA from Neltuma alba, 262 nucleotides. RefSeq lists it as uncharacterized. The transcript has 3 exons. Lineage: Eukaryota; Viridiplantae; Streptophyta; Magnoliopsida; Fabales; Fabaceae. The record is from RefSeq and is a predicted model, not a curated record.
AUUGAUGAUGAUGGAGUAGCAUUUUUAAGCGACCUUCUCACUCAUGAAGGCAUCAGUUUUCCCACUAAUGCUAUCCAUUCCGCAUUCACUCGUUAGAUACCCUUCAAAGGCUUCUUCAUUGAGAAUUCUAGCACUUUAAGGUGGGCUCAUUGCGAGAGCAGCAAGCCAGGCCGUUCUACUCAUAGUGAAAGGUGGGUUCUUCAUUCAACAGAAGAAUAUGCAGAGAACAUAAUUGCUCAAACUGGACUCAAGAAGCAAUCAG